GAUGAAGAACGUAGCGAAAUGCGAUACUUGGUGUGAAUUGCAGAAUCCCGUGAACCAUCGAGUCUUUGAACGCAAGUUGCGCCCGAAGCCAUUAGGCCGAGGGCACGCCUGCCUGGGCGUCACACGUCGUUGCCCCCCCAUCAACUCCUUCGGGAUUGCGGGGGGCGGAUGAUGGCCUCCCGUGCGCCUCGUCGCGCGGUUGGCCUAAAUGCCAAGUCCUCGGCGACGCACGCCACGACAAUCGGUGGUUGCGAAACCUCGGUUGCCUGUCGUGUGCGGUCGUCGCGCAUCGAGGGCUCGAAAAAAUUGCCGGGCUUCGGCUCGACUUUCAACGCGACCCCAGGUCAGGCGGGGUUACCCGCUGAAUUUAAGCAUAUCAAUAAGCGGAGGA
This 391-nucleotide unclassified non-coding RNA is filed under the name soil metagenome. RNAcentral's name for it is "partial contains 5.8S ribosomal RNA, internal transcribed spacer 2, and large subunit ribosomal RNA". The stretch from base 1 to 122 matches the Rfam family "5.8S ribosomal RNA", at positions 35 to 154 of the family's 154-position model. The record is from RNAcentral.